This 75-nucleotide transfer RNA is filed under the name Methanosphaera stadtmanae DSM 3091. Its description in RNAcentral is "tRNA-Gln". It matches the Rfam family "tRNA". Rfam says of the family: Transfer RNA (tRNA) molecules are approximately 80 nucleotides in length. Their secondary structure includes four short double-helical elements and three loops (D, anti-codon, and T loops). Lineage: Archaea; Methanobacteriati; Methanobacteriota; Methanobacteria; Methanobacteriales; Methanobacteriaceae. The record is from RNAcentral.
AGUCCCGUAGGGUAGUGGCAAUCCUCCUGGUCUUUGGAACCGGGGACAGCGGUUCGACUCCGCUCGGGACUACUA